AAAAUGUAACAAGGUUUCCGUAGGUGAACCUGCGGAAGGAUCAUUACCGAGUGUAGGGUUCCUAGCGAGCCCAACCUCCCACCCGUGUUUACUGUACCUUAGUUGCUUCGGCGGGCCCGCCAUUCAUGGCCGCCGGGGGCUCUCAGCCCCGGGCCCGCGCCCGCCGGAGACACCACGAACUCUGUCUGAUCUAGUGAAGUCUGAGUUGAUUGUAUCGCAAUCAGUUAAAACUUUCAACAAUGGAUCUCUUGGUUCCGGCAUCGAUGAAGAACGCAGCGAAAUGCGAUAACUAGUGUGAAUUGCAGAAUUCCGUGAAUCAUCGAGUCUUUGAACGCACAUUGCGCCCCCUGGUAUUCCGGGGGGCAUGCCUGUCCGAGCGUCAUUGCUGCCCAUCAAGCACGGCUUGUGUGUUGGGUCGUCGUCCCCUCUCCGGGGGGGACGGGCCCCAAAGGCAGCGGCGGCACCGCGUCCGAUCCUCGAGCGUAUGGGGCUUUGUCACCCGCUCUGUAGGCCCGGCCGGCGCUUGCCGAACGCAAAUCAAUCUUUUUCCAGGUUGACCUCGGAUCAGGUAGGGAUACCCGCUGAACUUAAGCAUAUC
This 598-nucleotide ribosomal RNA is filed under the name Aspergillus flavus. RNAcentral describes it as "eukaryotic LSU rRNA". The stretch from base 229 to 382 matches the Rfam family "5.8S ribosomal RNA". Lineage: Eukaryota; Fungi; Ascomycota; Eurotiomycetes; Eurotiales; Aspergillaceae. The record is from RNAcentral.